UACGUAGGGAGCGAGCGUUAUCCGGAUUUAUUGGGUGUAAAGGGUGCGUAGACGGGUCUACGAGUUAGUUGUGAAAUCCCUCGGCUCAACUGAGGAACUGCAGCUAAAACUAUAGAUCUUGAGUGCAGGAGAGGUAAGUGGAAUUCCUAGUGUAGCGGUGAAAUGCGUAGAUAUUAGGAGGAACACCAGUGGCGAAGGCGACUUACUGGACUGUAACUGACGUUGAGGCACGAAAGUGUGGGGAGCAAACA
RNAcentral lists this ribosomal RNA (251 nucleotides) under uncultured bacterium. Its description in RNAcentral is "partial 16S ribosomal RNA". It matches the Rfam family "Bacterial small subunit ribosomal RNA", at positions 524 to 774 of the family's 1533-position model. The record is from RNAcentral.